GAUGUAUUAGCGACAAUUUUGGCCAAUUCAUGAAUAUCAAUGAGGAAUACUUGCAUCAAGUAGUAAAAAUUGAGGAUUAACAUUGAUAGGUGGUCUCAAUUUAGAGGUGUUUAUUGUAGAUUAGGUGGGCAGUCAGAGAUAUACGGUCCAAAUGCUUGAGGUUGGCAGAUAAAAGCACCUCCGAGGCAGUCGCCGUCCGGCAAUUGCUUGGUCAUUGUUUACCACUUGAUGCAUGGCAAGCCAAAUCUGAAUGACUCAUGGGGUGUGAUUUGGGCAAGCAAGUGCUAAGAAGACUAUUGGUUUCGCUGAGGUUACUUAAAUAAUGCAAGGAUGUCGACAAUUGAUAAAGAUCGUUGGCUAUAUAGUGGAGACAUUUUACUCAGAACCAAGAACUGCAUGUCUGGCACCAGAUUAUAAAUUGGUCCAUUGCUGUGGACUGUUCGACAUCUUGUUUCCGUAGGAGGCUGGAAUGCGCAGGCCGUAGGUUACAGCCACUGACAAGGGCAUACGUGGCGUAAGCAGAGCCACACAAUGAGUCAAAAUAGGGGCAUUUAGUAAUUUCCAAAUGGACGGUCGUUAGGAGUGAAAGAGGUGGCCGUUAAGGUAAAAAAUCAGGGGGACUGAUUAGUCUAUUGCCACAAUACGACAAAGUAGCCAAACGUAUUGGAUAAGCCACCAGCCCACCGCGUCUCUUGUUCAUCUCAUUGAUCAACCCAGCAUUUUCGUUUCUUCUGCAGAAAACACAUUCAGAGUGAAGGAAAGUGGUCGAUCUUUGCCUUGCUUACCACGGCUUUGAACAAGUUCAGACUUCCAAAUUUUACUUAAGACAAAGGGGUCUCAGUAAAUAACUAAUCUCAGAAUUGGAGUAUUAUACAGAUAGAACUAUGCAUAAAAGUCAUCAUCGAUUCGCAGUUUAACGCAUUAGAGUUACUUAGAUUUGGAACUUACCACUGAUAUAUAAAUGAAGGAACAUGCAUCAUUGCUCAAUUCACUAUUAACUAAAAAAUAGUGUGC
This is a long non-coding RNA of Rosa rugosa (rugosa rose), 1014 nucleotides long. RefSeq lists it as uncharacterized. The record is from RefSeq and is a predicted model, not a curated record. The transcript has 4 exons. NCBI's taxonomy places the organism in Eukaryota, Viridiplantae, Streptophyta, Magnoliopsida, Rosales, Rosaceae.